This 305-nucleotide ribosomal RNA is filed under the name uncultured bacterium. RNAcentral's name for it is "bacterial SSU rRNA". It matches the Rfam family "Bacterial small subunit ribosomal RNA", at positions 335 to 637 of the family's 1533-position model. The record is from RNAcentral.
UUUCCUACGGGAGGCAGCAGUGAGGAAUAUUGGUCAAUGGGCGGAAGCCUGAACCAGCCAAGUCGCGUGAGGGAAGAAGGCCCUGCGGGUCGCAGACCUCUUUGGACGGGGAGCAAGGCCGCCGACGUGUCGGCGGAAGGAGAGUACCCGUAGAACAAGCAUCGGCUAACUCCGUGCCAGCAGCCGCGGUAAUACGGAGGAUGCGAGCGUUAUCCGGAUUUAUUGGGUUUAAAGGGUGCGUAGGCGGUCCGUUAAGUCAGCGGUAAAAUUGCGGGGCUCAACCCCGUCGAGCCGUUGAAACUGGC